GGCGAACGCUGGCGGCAGGCCUAACACAUGCAAGUCGAACGAACUCUUCGGAGUUAGUGGCGGACGGGUGAGUAACACGUGGGAACGUGCCUUUAGGUUCGGAAUAACUCAGGGAAACUUGAGCUAAUACCGGAUGUGCCCUUCGGGGGAAAGAUUUAUCGCCUUUAGAGCGGCCCGCGUCUGAUUAGCUAGUUGGUGAGGUAAAGGCUCACCAAGGCGACGAUCAGUAGCUGGUCUGAGAGGAUGAUCAGCCACAUUGGGACUGAGACACGGCCCAAACUCCUACGGGAGGCAGCAGUGGGGAAUCUUGCGCAAUGGGCGAAAGCCUGACGCAGCCAUGCCGCGUGAAUGAUGAAGGUCUUAGGAUUGUAAAAUUCUUUCACCGGGGACGAUAAUGACGGUACCCGGAGAAGAAGCCCCGGCUAACUUCGUG
Molecule: ribosomal RNA, 433 nt
Filed under: uncultured bacterium
Lineage: Bacteria
Description: partial 16S ribosomal RNA
Rfam family: Bacterial small subunit ribosomal RNA
Source: RNAcentral